UUUGGGCUGAUUUGUCGGAAA
RNAcentral lists this non-coding RNA (21 nucleotides) under Caenorhabditis elegans. Lineage: Eukaryota; Metazoa; Nematoda; Chromadorea; Rhabditida; Rhabditidae. The record is from RNAcentral.